GAGAUUGAGUGAGUGAGAUUGAGUGAGUUGUUCCUGCAUCAUCAUGUUCCUGGCUUUCCAUGUCAGAACUCCGUCAGCAUUCCGUGCAUGAGGACGAGGAGGAGCUGAUCCUCUCCCUUUCUUUUCUUUGCUUGGCUUCAUUCAUUUAUGGGUCAUCCUGUCUAAUCAUCAUCGCCUUGUCUUUGCGCUGCGCUGCUCUACUCUGCUGCUGCUGUUCCUUGGGAAGAGGUUUUUUUGUUGUUGUUGUUGUUCUUCUGUGGGGGAGAGGUGGGUUUGGUGUUGCGCCGACUCAUGUGCAGCAGCUCCUCGACAGCUCGUUUUCGACCUUUCGAAACGUGCACAAGAAAUCCAAUCUACAUGCAAGCGCUAGCGGUAGCGCAGCAUGUUAAUACUGUGGUUUUGAAAGUGCACUGUUCACUUCCAUUUCGAGUGUUAGGAGUUCAAUAUUUCAUUAGUAUGACGAGGCCCCCGAAAGCUCAGCCUUCCUUGCUGUUUCGGCAGCUGUUUGAGAAAGAGUCAUCAACUUACACUUACUUGCUGGCGGAUAAUGCACAUCCGGAUCGACCUGCUGUGCUAGUGGACCCUGUGGACAAGACCGCAGAGAGGGAUGCCGCGCUCGUGGAGCAGUUGGGUUUGAAGCUGUUGUAUGUUAUGAACACUCAUGUGCACGCAGAUCAUAUCACCGGCACCGGUAUUCUCAAAACUGCGAUGAGGUCUAGUGUUGAAAAGGAUUUUUUCAAGUCCGUCAAGGAUAUCAACAAAUUGCGACUUCGUUGUAAUUGACGCAGAACAAGAUUCCAGAAGUUCGAUCAGCUAUUUCUAGAGCAAGUGGUGCCAAGGCUGACUUGCACCUAAAUGCAGGGGAGAAAAUUUACUUCGGUAACCUGUAUCUCGAGGUGAGACCAACUCCAGGGCACACAAAAGGCUGCGUGACGUAUGUCACAGGAGAGGGUCCCGAUCAACCGAGUCCAAGAAUGGUAUUUACAGGAGAUGCUCUGCUUAUUCGAGGCUGCGGCCGCACAGACUUUCAGGGAGGGGAUGCAAGCCAGCUGUAUAAUUCGGUGCACUCGCAGGUGCUGCUACUUUCGCCAGGAUGCCUCAUCACGAACCAUACUUUGUGACGACGCAUCGCAGUAGCAUGAGACUUCGUUUUCAGUGAUAUUUCUGAUCUCUAAUGCUAUUUCGUAGUCUUUUCAUGCCAAAAAAGUUAUAUGAUUGGAUGCUAGAAUACGCUUGAUAUUAACUGCUUGCGGCCGCAGAUUUUUACUUUGCCGAAGGACACGCUUGUCUAUCCUGCACACGAUUACAAAGGGCACACUGUUUCUACUGUUGGAGAGGAGCUCAAGCUCAAUCCUCGACUUAGUAAAGAUGAGGAGGAGUUCAAGCGGAUAAUGAAAAACUUAGGAUUGCCCUAUCCGAAGAUGAUUGAUGUGGCAUUACCUUCCAACAUGGUGUGUGGUGUCCAAGACCCUGUGGCAACAUGAGCAGUUUAGGGAGCAGAUUCUGAUCCGUAUGAGAGCUGUUUGGCAGAUUGGACCAGUGUUGGCAAAUUACAUGUCCUCCAGAAAACCUGGUUCAGAAUUUGCCUCGGCCCACUGCUGGUAAGAUAUAAAAAUAUAAUCCUCAAUCCGGGAUUGGAAAAUAGGAAUACCACUAGCAGUUGCUCGACAAUCCAGCGACAAAAUCUUUCGUUCAUGCCAUCGAUAAAUGGCCAAUUGAAAUAGUUCAGGAAUUAUUACAUAAAAUGGUACGCUCGAUCUCUGAUCCGAUAUCACUGGCACUACUUGUGAAUAAAUACAUCUGAAUUACAACAAUUGCAAACUUCA
Non-coding RNA from Physcomitrium patens, 1826 nucleotides. The record is from RefSeq and is a predicted model, not a curated record. NCBI's taxonomy places the organism in Eukaryota, Viridiplantae, Streptophyta, Bryopsida, Funariales, Funariaceae.